RNAcentral lists this transfer RNA (70 nucleotides) under Dipodomys ordii (Ord's kangaroo rat). It matches the Rfam family "tRNA". From Rfam's summary of the family: Transfer RNA (tRNA) molecules are approximately 80 nucleotides in length. Their secondary structure includes four short double-helical elements and three loops (D, anti-codon, and T loops). Lineage: Eukaryota; Metazoa; Chordata; Mammalia; Rodentia; Heteromyidae. The record is from Rfam by way of RNAcentral.
UGGGAUGUAGCUCAGUGGCAAAGCACUUGCCUAGCAAGUGCAAUGUCCUGGGUUCGAUUCCCAGUACCAA